AUUGAACGCUGGCGNCCUUUCUAACACAUGCAAGUCGAGCGGUAGAGAGAAGCUUGCUUCUCUUGAGAGCGGCGGACGGGUGAGUAAUACCUGGGAAUCUGCCUGAUAGUGGGGGAUAACGUUCGGAAACGGACGCUAAUACCGCAUACGUCCUACGGGAGAAAGCAGGGGAUCUUCGGACCUUGCGCUAUCAGAUGAGCCCAGGUCGGAUUAGCUUGUUGGUGAGGUAAAGGCUCACCAAGGCGACGAUCCGUAACUGGUCUGAGAGGAUGAUCAGUCACACUGGAACUGAGACACGGUCCAGACUCCUACGGGAGGCAGCAGUGGGGAAUAUUGGACAAUGGGCGCAAGCCUGAUCCAGCCAUGCCGCGUGUGUGAAGAAGGUCUUCGGAUUGUAAAGCACUUUAAGUUGGGAGGAAGGGCUGAUGCUUAAUACGUAUCAGUCUUGACGUUACCGACAGAAUAAGCACCGGCUAACUCUGUG
This 484-nucleotide ribosomal RNA is filed under the name uncultured bacterium. RNAcentral describes it as "bacterial SSU rRNA". It matches the Rfam family "Bacterial small subunit ribosomal RNA", at positions 30 to 507 of the family's 1533-position model. The record is from RNAcentral.